AUCUCCCUGCUGUGUGCGUGUUGGCAGUUUUCAAUAUAAAUCCAACACUUAUUUUUCGGGAGCCCGAUUCUCCCUGGAACGAUUGCAGACCUCCCGGCUCUGCCGGACGAAGGGAGCGUGACCUCCGGGGGAGGGCACCCACCUGUCACAAGACGGGUUUCAUUUGACUGUACUCACGGCACGGCGGGGGUUCC
RNAcentral lists this non-coding RNA (194 nucleotides) under Bacillota bacterium. RNAcentral's name for it is "Firmicutes bacterium (gut metagenome) 6S RNA". It matches the Rfam family "6S / SsrS RNA". From Rfam's summary of the family: E. coli 6S RNA was the first non coding RNA to be sequenced, but its function was unknown until recently. It consists of 184 nucleotides that fold into an extended hairpin structure with a large single-stranded internal bulge. Lineage: Bacteria; Bacillati; Bacillota. The record is from RNAcentral.